UACGGAGGGUGCAAGCGUUGUCCGGAAUCACUGGGCGUAAAGGGCGCGUAGGCGGCUCGGUAAGUAGGGGGUGAAAUCCUGCGGCUUAACCGCAGGGCUGCCUUCUAAACUGUCGAGCUCGAGCAUCGGUAGAGGCAGAUGGAAUUCCCGGUGUAGCGGUGGAAUGCGUAGAGAUCGGGAAGAACAUCAGUGGCGAAGGCGGUCUGCUGGGCCGUUGCCUGACGCUGAGGCGCGACAGCGUGGGGAGCAAACAGG
This 255-nucleotide ribosomal RNA is filed under the name uncultured bacterium. Its description in RNAcentral is "partial 16S ribosomal RNA". It matches the Rfam family "Bacterial small subunit ribosomal RNA", at positions 524 to 776 of the family's 1533-position model. The record is from RNAcentral.